This 491-nucleotide ribosomal RNA is filed under the name Alexandrium tamarense. RNAcentral describes it as "partial Bacterial large subunit ribosomal RNA". It matches the Rfam family "Bacterial large subunit ribosomal RNA", at positions 1112 to 1713 of the family's 2925-position model. The record is from RNAcentral. Lineage: Eukaryota; Dinophyceae; Gonyaulacales; Pyrocystaceae.
GCAGCCAUCAUUUAAAGAAAGCGUAAUAGCUCACUGAUCGAGUCGUCCUGCGCGGAAGAUGUACCGGGGCUAAGCCAAUAACCGAAGCUGCGGAUGUGCCGCGAGGCACGUGGUAGGAGAGCGUUCUGUAAGCCUGUGAAGGUGUCUUGUGAAGGAUGCUGGAGGUAUCAGAAGUGCGAAUGCUGACAUGAGUAGCGAUAAAGAGUGUGAGAAACACUCUCGCCGAAAGUCCAAGGGUUCCUGCUUAAAGCUAAUCUGAGCAGGGUAAGCCGGCCCCUAAGUCGAGGCAGAAAUGCGUAGACGAUGGGAACCACGUUAAUAUUCGUGGGCCAGGAGGAUGUGACGGAUCUCGACUGUAGUUUGCCCUUAUUGGAUUGGGUGGGCUGCUUAGAGGUUCCUGGAAAUAGCCCUCCAUUAGACCGUACCCUAAACCGACACAGGUGGACUGGUAGAGCAUACCAAGGCGCUUGAGAGAACUACGUUGAAGGAAC